Molecule: ribosomal RNA, 269 nt
Filed under: uncultured prokaryote
Description: partial 16S ribosomal RNA
Rfam family: Bacterial small subunit ribosomal RNA
Source: RNAcentral
UACGGAGGAUCCGAGCGUUAUCCGGAUUUAUUGGGUUUAAAGGGUGCGCAGGCGGAAGAUUAAGUCGGUGGUGAAAUUUUGCAGCUCAACUGUAAAAGUGCCAUUGAUACUGGUUUUCUUGAGUGUGGAUGAAGUAGGCGGAAUUUGUGGUGUAGCGGUGAAAUGCAUAGAUAUCACGAGGAACUCCGAUUGCGCAGGCAGCUUACUAAACCAUAACUGACGCUCAGGCACGAAGGCGUGGGGAUCAAACAGGAUUAGAUACCCGGGUA